GCGCCGGUGGUGUAAGGCGAACAUCGCUGCCCAGAAAGCAGAAGAUGCGGGUUCGAGUCCCGCCUGGCGCA
Heligmosomoides polygyrus is the source of this 71-nucleotide non-coding RNA. Lineage: Eukaryota; Metazoa; Nematoda; Chromadorea; Rhabditida; Heligmosomidae. The record is from Rfam.